UGCAAGUCGAGCGAACGGACGAGAAGCUUGCUUCUCUGAUGUUAGCGGCGGACGGGUGAGUAACACGUGGAUAACCUACCUAUAAGACUGGGAUAACUUCGGGAAACCGGAGCUAAUACCGGAUAAUAUUUUGAACCGCAUGGUUCAAAAGUGAAAGACGGUCUUGCUGUCACUUAUAGAUGGAUCCGCGCUGCAUUAGCUAGUUGGUAAGGUAACGGCUUACCAAGGCAACGAUGCAUAGCCGACCUGAGAGGGUGAUCGGCCACACUGGAACUGAGACACGGUCCAGACUCCUACGGGAGGCAGCAGUAGGGAAUCUUCCGCAAUGGGCGAAAGCCUGACGGAGCAACGCCGCGUGAGUGAUGAAGGUCUUCGGAUCGUAAAACUCUGUUAUUAGGGAAGAACAUAUGUGUAAGUAACUGUGCACAUCUUGACGGUACCUAAUCAGAAAGCCACGGCUAACUACGUGCCAGCAGCCGCGGUAAUACGUAGGUGGCAAGCGUUAUCCGGAAUUAUUGGGCGUAAAGCGCGCGUAGGCGGUUUUUUAAGUCUGAUGUGAAAGCCCACGGCUCAACCGUGGAGGGUCAUUGGAAACUGGAAAACUUGAGUGCAGAAGUGGAAAGUGGAAUUCCAUGUGUAGCGGUGAAAUGCGCAGAGAUAUGGAGGAACACCAGUGGCGAAGGCGACUUUCUGGUCUGUAACUGACGCUGAUGUGCGAAAGCGUGGGGAUCAAACAGGAUUAGAUACCCUGGUAGUCCACGCCGUAAACGAUGAGUGCUAAGUGUUAGGGGGUUUCCGCCCCUUAGUGCUGCAGCUAACGCAUUAAGCACUCCGCCUGGGGAGUACGACCGCAAGGUUGAAACUCAAAGGAAUUGACGCGGACCCGCACAAGCGGUGGAGCAUGUGGUUUAAUUCGAAGCAACGCGAAGAACCUUACCAAAUCUUGACAUCCUUUGACAACUCUAGAGAUAGAGCCUUCCCCUUCGGGGGACAAAGUGACAGGUGGUGCAUGGUUGUCGUCAGCUCGUGUCGUGAGAUGUUGGGUUAAGUCCCGCAACGAGCGCAACCCUUAAGCUUAGUUGCCAUCAUUAAGUUGGGCACUCUAAGUUGACUGCCGGUGACAAACCGGAGGAAGGUGGGGAUGACGUCAAAUCAUCAUGCCCCUUAUGAUUUGGGCUACACACGUGCUA
This 1190-nucleotide ribosomal RNA is filed under the name Staphylococcus aureus. RNAcentral describes it as "bacterial SSU rRNA". It matches the Rfam family "Bacterial small subunit ribosomal RNA", at positions 56 to 1227 of the family's 1533-position model. Lineage: Bacteria; Bacillati; Bacillota; Bacilli; Caryophanales; Staphylococcaceae. The record is from RNAcentral.